RNAcentral lists this ribosomal RNA (414 nucleotides) under uncultured bacterium. Its description in RNAcentral is "bacterial SSU rRNA". It matches the Rfam family "Bacterial small subunit ribosomal RNA", at positions 8 to 426 of the family's 1533-position model. The record is from RNAcentral.
AGAGUUUGAUCCUGGCUCAGAUUGAACGCUGGCGGCAUGCCUUACACAUGCAAGUCGAACGGUAACAGGUCUUCGGAUGCUGACGAGUGGCGAACGGGUGAGUAAUACAUCGGAACGUGCCCGAUCGUGGGGGAUAACGGAGCGAAAGCUUUGCUAAUACCGCAUACGAUCUACGGAUGAAAGCAGGGGACCGCAAGGCCUUGCGCGGACGGAGCGGCCGAUGGCAGAUUAGGUAGUUGGUGGGAUAAAAGCUUACCAAGCCGACGAUCUGUAGCUGGUCUGAGAGGACGACCAGCCACACUGGGACUGAGACACGGCCCAGACUCCUACGGGAGGCAGCAGUGGGGAAUUUUGGACAAUGGGCGAAAGCCUGAUCCAGCCAUGCCGCGUGCAGGAUGAAGGCCUUCGGGUUGU